GGAGUGUUGUUGUUAGGAAUAUGGCAAUAAAAGAGAAAAGAGAAAAAUAAAUUACGCAAAAAUUUAACAUAGUUUAGCUUAUAAAUGCCUACUUCCACAAUAAGUAUAUUUAUUUUUGGUGUCUCUUUCAAGCAUUAUACAGGGUUGCUUAUAAACUUAAAUAGAGAAUAAUAUAUCACAAUAUUAAGCGAUAUGGAACUAAGUUAAGCUCCAUAAUACUAGCAAUUCUCC
This 231-nucleotide long non-coding RNA is filed under the name Vigna radiata. Its description in RNAcentral is "long non-coding RNA (VRAD_LNC007166)". Lineage: Eukaryota; Viridiplantae; Streptophyta; Magnoliopsida; Fabales; Fabaceae. The record is from RNAcentral.